This is a long non-coding RNA of Cyprinus carpio carpio, 1017 nucleotides long. NCBI's taxonomy places the organism in Eukaryota, Metazoa, Chordata, Actinopteri, Cypriniformes, Cyprinidae. The record is from Ensembl.
AGACAGAUCACUUAUUGUGGUCAUAACAGGCAGAAGGUCAGGGCAGGCAGCAAAUAGGAAUACAAGUAGUCCAGGACAACUCAAGUGGUAGGCAGGCAGCAAACAAUCGUACAAGGUAAUCCAAAGCAGAGUCAAACACGGGAAAGUAAUGCUCAGAAAUGUAGCCAAGGCAAACAAGACUUCACAGUGAGUCAAAACAAACACAAAGGGUUUAAAUAGUCUGAAUGAUGAGGGACAGGUGUGCAGUAAUAUGGGUUCCUGUUAAUUGUAGUCCAAACUGAAUGCUAAUACUUAGGUGAGUGAGACCUCUGGUGGCUGAUUGAGGAACCUUAACCGGUGUUCGUGGCAGAGUGCAACAGAGGGUGGACUUUUUCACUAGACUAAUGGAUGUGUUAUUAUGAAUUAUGUGUUAUUCUGGAUUAUGUUUCAAACAUGCAGCUUUUCACUUCACAAGACUUUAAUUUAUGGACUGAUUUUUUUAUCAGCUGUUUGAACCUCUCAGUCUGACAGCACCCAUUCACUGCAGAGGAUCCAUUGGAAAGCAAGUGAUGUAAUGCUAAAUGUCUCCAAAUCUGUUCUGCUGAAAUAACAAACUAUUACUUGAGGCAGUUGUGGCCUAAUGGUUAGAGACAGUAUGGCUGCCCACUGCUCUGGGGGUGUGUUCAUGGUGUGUGUGCUCUUGGAUGGGUUAAAUACAGAGCACAAAUUCCAAGUAUGGGUCGCCACACGUCACUUCCUUUUUUUUUUUUUUUAUGUUUACAACUGGGUCAUUGUGGCUAAUUUUCACUGCUCUUACGAAAUUUUAGGGGAAAAAAAUCUGAGACAAUAUUAAUGUUGAUAUGAUACUGCAAGCACCAUUAAGCUAUAAACCUGUGAGCAAUAAAAUCUCUUGAGUAUUUUAGAAUCAUAUUUCUUAGAAUAUUAUAAUAAAGAUUAAAAAUCAGAGACUAUGUAGAUUACCUCUUUUUAAUGAUGAUGUUUUAAGGGAAUUUAAGUUGUAGUGGUUGUACUUCCUCC